Long non-coding RNA from Pantherophis guttatus, 596 nucleotides. RefSeq lists it as uncharacterized. NCBI's taxonomy places the organism in Eukaryota, Metazoa, Chordata, Lepidosauria, Squamata, Colubridae. The record is from RefSeq and is a predicted model, not a curated record.
UAGAAUAUGUUUCACAAGGCUCUGGAUAGGCCUGUGAAGGCCCACCUUUUCCAUCUGCAGAGUGGGGAGAAAAAAAGACAAAUUGCUGCUUUUCUUCUUGGAGGAUUUAUAUCAAUAAGACGGAGAAGGCUCCGUCCUCAUGGCCUCUGAGGGGACCAACACACAGGUGGGAAGGUGACCAGUCUCUUCACGUGGCCUCGAACUCACCCCUCCCUCCUGAAUCUGCUGCAGAGGAUGGCUAUUUUUGUUUAGGCUAACCGAGUUUUGCAUGAAAUCCCUCGGGUUGAAGCUUUUGUGGAAAGCGGGAAAUUACAGAAGACACAAAGGCAUUCAUCUCCCACACCUACUAGUCAACAUUCCUGCCAAACUCCGGUUGUGAAUGGAGGCAGUUGAAAUCUAACAUGCAUCAAAAGGCAUUUCUGACUUGUAAAGGCUUUUUCAACAUUCAGACGAUUGAAGUUGAGAACACUCCCGAUAACAAAGGACAGCCCUGGAGUUUGAACUGGAUGCAUUCCAACUUCACAAGAUGUCCUCUCUUUGUUCCCUCUCCUACUUUAAAGUCUAUUUAGAUUUACAAUAAACAACAAUUGAUCAAA